This 789-nucleotide ribosomal RNA is filed under the name Methanoculleus sp. enrichment culture clone L35A3_44. Its description in RNAcentral is "bacterial SSU rRNA". It matches the Rfam family "Archaeal small subunit ribosomal RNA", at positions 85 to 879 of the family's 1478-position model. Lineage: Archaea; Methanobacteriati; Methanobacteriota; Methanomicrobia; Methanomicrobiales; Methanomicrobiaceae. The record is from RNAcentral.
ACUGCUCAGUAACACGUGGAUAACCUGCCCUAAGGAAGGGGAUAACCUCGGGAAACUGAGGAUAAUACCCUAUAGGUUACAGACGCUGGAAUGCCCUGUAACCGAAAGUUCCGGCGCCUUAGGAUGGAUCUGCGGCCGAUUAGGUUGUUGUUGGGGUAACGGCCCAACAAGCCAAUAAUCGGUACGGGUUGUGGGAGCAAGAGCCCGGAGUUGGAUUCUGAGACAUGAAUCCAGGCCCUACGGGGCGCAGCAGGCGCGAAAACUUUACAAUGCGGGAAACCGUGAUAAGGGAACCCCGAGUGCCCGUAAAUUCGGGCUGUCCAUCAGCGUAAAUAACUGGUGAAGAAAGGGCCGGGCAAGACCGGUGCCAGCCGCCGCGGUAAUACCGGCGGCUCGAGUGGUGGCCACUUUUAUUGGGCUUAAAGCGUUCGUAGCUGGGUUGUUAAGUCUCUUGGGAAAUCUGACGGCUUAACCGUCAGGCGUCUAAGAGAUACAGGCAAUCUUGGAACCGGGAGAGGUGAGGGGUACUUCGGGGGUAGGAGUGAAAUCCUGUAAUCCUCGAGGGACCACCUGUGGCGAAGGCGCCUCACCAGAACGGCUUCGACAGUGAGGGACGAAAGCUGGGGGAGCAAACCGGAUUAGAUACCCGGGUAGUCCCAGCCGUAAACGAUGCGCGUUAGGUGUAUCGGUGACCACGAGUCACCGAGGUGCCGAAGGGAAACUGUGAAACGUGCCGCCUGGGAAGUACGGUCGCAAGGCUGAAACUUAAAGGAAUUGGCGGGGGAGCAC